This is a long non-coding RNA of Stegodyphus dumicola, 222 nucleotides long. NCBI's taxonomy places the organism in Eukaryota, Metazoa, Arthropoda, Arachnida, Araneae, Eresidae. The record is from RefSeq and is a predicted model, not a curated record.
GAAAGAACGUUUUUUUGUACUUCAUCUUCAGCAUAUCUAGGUUUUAAUCCACCAGAGGAUUAAAGAUACAGUUUGUGUCCUUUCAGAUUUCAAAGUAAAAAGAAAGCUAACUACUGCUGAACUGAAUGUACUCUCUACUACUCAAGAUACUCCCAUACUCCGUCUACAGGCAGGACAUGUAUAGCUUUUGACCUGCCUUCGAGAACAUUCUCUGGAAAACUG